Molecule: ribosomal RNA, 491 nt
Filed under: uncultured bacterium
Lineage: Bacteria
Description: partial 16S ribosomal RNA
Rfam family: Bacterial small subunit ribosomal RNA
Source: RNAcentral
GUGAACGCUGGCGGUAGGCCUAACACAUGCAAGUCGAACGGCAGCACAGUAAGAGCUUGCUCUUACGGGUGGCGAGUGGCGGACGGGUGAGGAAUACAUCGGAAUCUACUUUUUCGUGGGGGAUAACGUAGGGAAGCUUACGCUAAUACCGCAUACGACCUACGGGUGAAAGCAGGGGAUCUUCGGACCUUGCGCGAUUGAAUGAGCCGAUGUCGGAUUAGCUAGUUGGCGGGGUAAAGGCCCACCAAGGCGACGAUCCGUAGCUGGUCUGAGAGGAUGAUCGGCCACACUGGAACUGAGACACGGUCCAGACUCCUACGGGAGGCAGCAGUGGGGAAUAUUGGACAAUGGGCGCAAGCCUGAUCCAGCCAUACCGCGUGGGUGAAGAAGGCCUUCGGGUUGUAAAGCCCUUUUGUUGGGAAAGAAAAGCAGCAGGUUAAUACCCCGCUGUUCUGACGGUACCCAAAGAAUAAGCACCGGCUAACUUCGUG